AUUGAACGCUGGCGGCAGGCCUAACACAUGCAAGUCGAGCGGAGCGGCGGACGAGUGAGUAAUGCCUAGGAAGCUGCCUGUUAGUGGGGUAUAACGUCCGGAGACGGGCGCUAAUGCCGCAUGCUUGCAGGUGGCCCUAGGUGGGAUUAGCUAGUUGGGGGGGUAAUGGCCUACCAAGGCGAUGAUCCGUAACUGGGCUGAGAGGAUGAUCAGUCACACUGGAACUGAGACACGGUCCAGACUCCUACGGGAGGCAGCAGUAGGGAAUAUUGGACAAUGGGCGAAAGCCUGACCGAGCCACGCCGCGUGUGUGAAGAAGGUUUUCGGAUUGUAAAGCACUUUUAGUUGGGAAGCGGUAUCAACAGAAUAAGCAACGGCUAACUUCGUGCCAGCAGCCGCGGUAAUUC
Molecule: ribosomal RNA, 407 nt
Filed under: uncultured bacterium
Lineage: Bacteria
Description: partial 16S ribosomal RNA
Rfam family: Bacterial small subunit ribosomal RNA
Source: RNAcentral